Siniperca chuatsi (mandarin fish) is the source of this 1178-nucleotide long non-coding RNA. RefSeq lists it as uncharacterized. NCBI's taxonomy places the organism in Eukaryota, Metazoa, Chordata, Actinopteri, Centrarchiformes, Sinipercidae. The transcript is spliced from 2 exons. The record is from RefSeq and is a predicted model, not a curated record.
UCUCCUCCUUCUUUCCUUUCCCCGAGUCUUCUUCUUCUCUUCACACUAUCCAGAACUCUCGUCUUCUUCUUCUUCUUCCCCUCCUCCUCCUCCUCUGUUUCAUGUUUCGUUUCUCCUCCUCCUGCCAACUCGUGUGUCCUGCAGCUCUGACGUCCCGACAGCAGGAGUCGUGUGAUCGGAGCUGAGAGUCUACUCCUCGUGUCAGCGGCUCUGAAGCAGACGAGUGCCAACCUUCUCCCGCAGAGCAGCGAUGAUACUGAUCUGAAAUCAGCAGAGUCACUCAUGAAUCAUGCUGACGGGGUCUGGGCGGACACCUCAUGACUCAGGAGCACGACAUGAACCGCCGGGUGCAUCGAUCGCAGAAAACAACACAAACACAGAAGCUGUUAUCAGAUCGGAGUUACUGAGAAAAACUGAAGAUUAAAUAUUAAAAAACAGUCCGGUUUAGAGACCAGGAAGUGUUCAGUCUAACAGCUUUCACCUCUGAGAUGGUGACGGUGAUCUUUGACCUGGUGAUCUGGAAAACAGAAAAACAAAUGCUGAUGGAAAAACUGAAUAUUGUAAUAUAACAAAAACAUGUAAACCGUUUCAGUAAGAGGAUUUACAGCUGUUUCUGUCAUGGUUUGGGGGGUUUGUUAUUUCCUGUUUUAUUUUGUAAGUUUUGCUUCCUGUCGUUGACUGCUUCACCUGCGUCCCGUUGUCUCCCUCACCUCAGUGUGUUUAAGUCUGUGUCCUUUAGUCCUUUCUCAGUUCGUCCCAGUUGCUAUGUUGGUUUUGGCUUCUCUGAUGUUUGGACUUACAUCUGCAUGUUACCUGUUUGGUACCUGCCUACCUGCACCUGCCAGUAAGCGCUAUUACAUCAGCGUGCUGCCUCCUCUGUCUGCAUUUGGGUCCUUUCCUGUUCCCUGUUUGCCAACAUCGUAACAGUUUCUCGGUUCAACAACUGAAUCUUUAUUUUCUAAUGAAAAUAUAAAUGUUGACACUAAACUUUUGACUACAAAAAGCAACAUUUGGCAGUUAAAAUACUUGAGUCACCCAGACCGCCUCUAAAGAUAAGCACAUGUGAAAUGUGAAUAUAUCACAUAAUAAAUGUGUUUAUGAUCAAUCCACGUGCUUUUUUGGUAACAGCAUCUCUGCAUUUCCUGGUGCAGCAAAACAAAUAAAAACAUCCCAACUUA